This 491-nucleotide ribosomal RNA is filed under the name uncultured bacterium. RNAcentral's name for it is "partial 16S ribosomal RNA". It matches the Rfam family "Bacterial small subunit ribosomal RNA", at positions 29 to 507 of the family's 1533-position model. The record is from RNAcentral.
AGUGAACGCUGGCGGUAGGCCUAACACAUGCAAGUCGAACGGCAGCACAGUAAGAGCUUGCUCUUACGGGUGGCGAGUGGCGGACGGGUGAGGAAUACAUCGGAAUCUACUUUUUCGUGGGGGAUAACGUAGGGAAACUUACGCUAAUACCGCAUACGACCUACGGGUGAAAGCAGGGGAUCUUCGGACCUUGCGCGAUUGAAUGAGCCGAUGUCGGAUUAGCUAGUUGGCGGGGUAAAGGCCCACCAAGGCGACGAUCCGUAGCUGGUCUGAGAGGAUGUUAGGCCACCCAGAACGUGAGCACCGGCCAGACUCCUACGGGAGGCAGCAGUGGGGAAUAUUGGACAAUGGGCGCAAGCCUGAUCCAGCCAUACCGCGUGGGUGAAGAAGGCCUUCGGGUUGUAAAGCCCUUUUGUUGGGAAAGAAAAGCAGCAGGUUAAUACCCCGCUGUUCUGACGGUACCCAAAGAAUAAGCACCGGCUAACUUCGUG